GGCUGCUUGGCCGAGUGGUUAUGGCGCUAGUUUCAGGACACCUGAACAGAGUUCCGAAUUAAGGAAUCCAAUUACUAGUUGGGCAACCUUCGUGAGUUCGAGUCUCACAGCAGUCA
Non-coding RNA from Phyllosticta citribraziliensis, 116 nucleotides. The record is from the annotation of a GenBank genome assembly. Lineage: Eukaryota; Fungi; Ascomycota; Dothideomycetes; Botryosphaeriales; Phyllostictaceae.